GACGAACGCUGGCGGCGUGCUUAACACAUGCAAGUCGAACGGAAAGGCCCUGCUUUUGUGGGGGGCUCGAGUGGCGAACGGGUGAGUAACACGUGAGUAACCUGCCCUUGACUUUGGGAUAACUUCAGGAAACUGGGGCUAAUACCGGAUAGGAGCUCCUGCUGCAUGGUGGGGGUGGGAAAGUUUCGGCGGUUGGGGAUGGACUCGCGGCUUAUCAGCUUGUUGGUGGGGUAGUGGCUUACCAAGGCUUUGACGGGUAGCCGGCCUGAGAGGGUGACCGGCCACAUUGGGACUGAGAUACGGCCCAGACUCCUACGGGAGGCAGCAGUGGGGAAUAUUGCACAAUGGGCGGAAGCCUGAUGCAGCAACGCCGCGUGCGGGAUGACGGCCUUCGGGUUGUAAACCGCUUUCGCCUGUGACGAAGCGUGAGUGACGGUAAUGGGUAAAGAAGCACCGGCUAACUACGUG
This 468-nucleotide ribosomal RNA is filed under the name uncultured bacterium. RNAcentral describes it as "partial 16S ribosomal RNA". It matches the Rfam family "Bacterial small subunit ribosomal RNA", at positions 28 to 507 of the family's 1533-position model. The record is from RNAcentral.